GAUGAACGCUGGCGGCGCGCCUAACACAUGCAAGUCGAACGAUUAAAGCACCUUCGGGUGUGUAUAAAGUGGCGAACGGCUGAGUAACACGUGGGCAACCUGCCCCUUUCAUUGGGAUAGCCACGGGAAACCGUGGAUAAUACCGAAUACUUCGAGACUUCCGCAUGGAAGACUCGAGAAAGCUCCGGCGGAGAGGGAUGGGCCCGCGGCCUGUUAGCUUGUUGGUGGGGUAACGGCCUACCAAGGCAAUGAUGGGUAGCUGGGUUGAGAGACCGACCAGCCAGAUUGGGACUGAGACACGGCCCAGACUCCCACGGGAGGCAGCAGUGGGGAAUCUUGCACAAUGGGCGAAAGCCUGAUGCAGCGACGCCGCGUGCGGGAUGAAGGCCUUCGGGUUGUAAACCGCUUUCAGCAGGGACGAGGCGAAAGUGACGGUACCUGCAGAAGAAGCCCCGGCUAACUACGUG
RNAcentral lists this ribosomal RNA (467 nucleotides) under uncultured bacterium. RNAcentral describes it as "partial 16S ribosomal RNA". It matches the Rfam family "Bacterial small subunit ribosomal RNA", at positions 28 to 507 of the family's 1533-position model. The record is from RNAcentral.